Dermochelys coriacea (leatherback sea turtle) is the source of this 161-nucleotide long non-coding RNA. RefSeq lists it as uncharacterized. The record is from RefSeq and is a predicted model, not a curated record. The transcript is spliced from 3 exons. NCBI's taxonomy places the organism in Eukaryota, Metazoa, Chordata, Testudines, Dermochelyidae.
GAUCUCUUGAGCAGGAGUAGAGUUUAUUUUACUCUCUACUUGGCACUCAUGUGUCCGCUGCUGCAAUACUGUGCUUGUUCUGGUGCCCACAAUUCAAGAAGGACGUUGAUAAAUUGGAGAGGGUUCAUAGAAGAGUCAUGAAAAUGAUCAAAGGAUUAGAA